Non-coding RNA from Antechinus flavipes (yellow-footed antechinus), 556 nucleotides. The record is from the annotation of a RefSeq genome assembly. NCBI's taxonomy places the organism in Eukaryota, Metazoa, Chordata, Mammalia, Dasyuromorphia, Dasyuridae.
AGCAUCGAUACCAUGGCCUUGAGUCUUCUCUUCAUCCUGCUUGCUCUCUGCACAGGGAGCAGUGCCCAGGCUGUGGUGACUCAGGAGCCUUCUCUGACCGUGAUCCCAGGAGGGACAGUCACUCUGACCUGCAGCUCCAGCACAGGGGCGGUCACCUCUGGGAACUAUCCUUGCUGGAUCCAGCAGAAAUCUGGCCAGUCCCCCAGGGGGCUCAUUUACGGCACCAACAAUCUUUUACCAGGUGUCCCUGCUCGGUUUUCAGGGUCCCUCCUUGGGGACAAAGCUGCCCUCACCAUCAAGGGGGCCCAGCCUGAGGAUGAGGCUCACUAUUACUGUGUCUUGCAUUAUAGUGGUCGAUGGCACAGUGAGAGAGACAGAUGUAGAACUGAGACAAAAACCUCUUCUUGCCCUAUUUGUAUGCAUCCAUAUGCUUUGACCACCUCUCUGAAAAACCUCAAGUCAUAAGAAUCUGAGGCUAAGAUGGCCCCAUGUCUGGCCACAUCUGAUUAUUGUGGGUGUUUCCAGGUUCACAGUGUGAAGACAUGUUAUACACCAG